UACAGAGGUCCCAAGCGUUGUUCGGAUUCACUGGGCGUAAAGGGUGCGCAGGUGGCGCUUCAAGUUUGAUGUGAAAGCUUCGGGCUCAACCCGGAAAUGGCAUUGAAUACUGGAGUGCUGGAGGUUUGGAGGGGGGACUGGAAUUCCCGGUGUAGUGGUGAAAUGCGUAGAUAUCGGGAGGAACACCAGUGGCGAAGGCGACUUCCUGGCCUGUUCUUGACGCUGAGGCGCGAAAGCUAGGGGAGCAAACGGG
Molecule: ribosomal RNA, 253 nt
Filed under: uncultured bacterium
Lineage: Bacteria
Description: partial 16S ribosomal RNA
Rfam family: Bacterial small subunit ribosomal RNA
Source: RNAcentral